RNAcentral lists this ribosomal RNA (460 nucleotides) under uncultured bacterium. RNAcentral's name for it is "partial 16S ribosomal RNA". It matches the Rfam family "Bacterial small subunit ribosomal RNA", at positions 338 to 795 of the family's 1533-position model. The record is from RNAcentral.
CCUACGGGGAACAGCAGUGAGGAAUAUUGGUCAAUGGACGAGAGUCUGAACCAGCCAAGUAGCGUGAAGGAUGACUGCCCUAUGGGUUGUAAACUUCUUUUAUAAAGGAAUAAAACGAGUCACGUGUGCCUUUUUGCAUGUACUUUAUGAAUAAGGAUCGGCUAACUCCGUGCCAGCAGCCGCGGUAAUACGGAGGAUCCGAGCGUUAUCCGGAUUUAUUGGGUUUAAAGGGAGCGUAGAUGGGUUGUUAAGUAAGUUGUGAAAGUUUGCGGCUCAACCGUAAAAUUGCAAUGGGUACUGGCAGUCUUGAGUACAGUUGAGGUGUGCGGAAUUCGUGGUGUAGCGGUGAAAUGCUUAGAUAUCACGAAGAACUCCGAUUGCGAAGGCAGCUCACUGGACUGCAACUGACACUGAGGCUCGAAGGUGUGGGUAUCAAACAGGAUUAGAUACCCGAGUAGUC